Molecule: ribosomal RNA, 468 nt
Filed under: uncultured bacterium
Lineage: Bacteria
Description: partial 16S ribosomal RNA
Rfam family: Bacterial small subunit ribosomal RNA
Source: RNAcentral
GACGAACGCUGGCGGCGUGCUUAACACAUGCAAGUCGAACGGAAAGGCCCUGCUUUUGUGGGGUGCUCGAGUGGCGAACGGGUGAGUAACACGUGAGUAACCUGCCCUUGACUUUGGGAUAACUUCAGGAAACUGGGGCUAAUACCGGAUAGGAGCUCCUGCUGCAUGGUGGGGGUUGGAAAGUUUCGGCGGUUGGGGAUGGACUCGCGGCUUAUCGGCUUGUUGGUGGGGUAGUGGCUUACCAAGGCUUUGACGGGUAGCCGGCCUGAGAGGGUGACCGGCCACAUUGGGACUGAGAUACGGCCCAGUCGCCUACGGGAGGCAGCAGUGGGGAAUAUUGCACAAUGGGCGGAAGCCUGAUGCAGCAACGCCGCGUGCGGGAUGACGGCCUUCGGGUUGUAAACCGCUUUCGCCUGUGACGAAGCGUGAGUGACGGUAAUGGGUAAAGAAGCACCGGCUAACUACGUG